This 236-nucleotide long non-coding RNA is filed under the name Capsicum annuum. RNAcentral describes it as "long non-coding RNA (CANN_LNC009067)". Lineage: Eukaryota; Viridiplantae; Streptophyta; Magnoliopsida; Solanales; Solanaceae. The record is from RNAcentral.
UGGUCAUUUAAUAGCAGAUAUAGGGGGAGCACAAAUAUAAAUUUUCCCUAUGGUCGAAAAUAAUAUUUUUUUAUUACAGUGUCAGGUGUUCGGCCCAGCUUUUAAAAACCUCGACUAAUUUCAUAGGCUAUCUGUCACCUCCAAAGUUAAGACAAACUGAAAGAAUCACCUAGUUGGUCAAACAUAAUAUCACAAAAGAAUAGCAAGUUUAGUGGUAUCACACAAUUAAACUAAAA